Molecule: small nucleolar RNA, 121 nt
Filed under: Echinops telfairi (small Madagascar hedgehog)
Lineage: Eukaryota; Metazoa; Chordata; Mammalia; Afrosoricida; Tenrecidae
Description: Small nucleolar RNA SNORA61 (ENSETEG00000024522.1)
Source: RNAcentral
GCCACCCCAAUUCCUUACCCAUCAAAUCUGAACAAUAGCUUGAGUGGCUAUAAAAGGAGGGAAAGUAAAACUGAAUCAGACUUGGAUGAUUUUGUGACAUACAAGUUAGUUUCAAACAAAA